This 468-nucleotide ribosomal RNA is filed under the name uncultured bacterium. RNAcentral's name for it is "partial 16S ribosomal RNA". It matches the Rfam family "Bacterial small subunit ribosomal RNA", at positions 28 to 507 of the family's 1533-position model. The record is from RNAcentral.
GACGAACGCUGGCGGCGUGCUUAACACAUGCAAGUCGAACGGAAAGGUCCUGCUUUUGUGGGGUGCUCGAGUGGCGAACGGGUGAGUAACACGUGAGUUACCUGCCCCUGACUUUGGGAUAACUUCAGAAAACUGGGUCUAAUACCGGAUAGGAGCUCCUGCUGCAUGGUGGGGGUUGGAAAGUUUCGGCGGUUGGGGAUGGACUCGCGGCUUAUCAGCUUGUUGGUUGGGUAGUGGCUUACCAAGGCUUUGACGGGUAGCCGGCCUGAGAGGGUGACCGGCCACAUUGGGACUGAGAUGCGGCCCGGACUCCUACGGGAGGCAGCAGUGGGGAAUAUUGCACAAUGGGCGGAAGCCUGAUGCAGCAACGCCGCGUGGGGGAUGAGGGCCUUCGGGUUGUAAACCGCUUUCGCCUGUGACGAAGCGUGAGUGACGGUAAUGGGUAAAGAAGCACCGGCUAACUACGUG